RNAcentral lists this ribosomal RNA (512 nucleotides) under uncultured bacterium. Its description in RNAcentral is "partial 16S ribosomal RNA". It matches the Rfam family "Bacterial small subunit ribosomal RNA", at positions 28 to 507 of the family's 1533-position model. The record is from RNAcentral.
GAUGAACGCUGGCGGCGUGCCUAAUACAUGCAAGUCGAACGAAACUUCUUUAUCACCGAGUGCUUGCACUCACCGAUAAAGAGUUGAGUGGCGAACGGGUGAGUAACACGUGGGCAACCUGCCCAAAAGAGGGGGAUAACACUUGGAAACAGGUGCUAAUACCGCAUAACCAUAGUUACCGCAUGGUAACUAUGUAAAAGGUGGCUAUACUACCGCUUUUGGGUGGGCCCGCGGCGCAUUAGCUAGUUGGUAGGGUAAAGGCUUACCAAGGCAAUGAUGCGUAGCCGAAUUGAGAGGUUGAUCGGCCACAUUGGGACUGAGACACGGCCCAAACUCCUACGGGAGGCAGCAGUAGGGAAUCUUCCACAAUGGGCGAAAGCCUGAUGGAGCAACGCCGCGUGGGUGAAGAAGGUCUUCGGAUCGUAAAACCCUGUUGUUAGAGAAGAAAGUGCGUGAGAGUAACUGUUCACGUUUCGACGGUAUCUAACCAGAAAGCCACGGCUAACUACGUG